Motacilla alba alba is the source of this 10342-nucleotide long non-coding RNA. RefSeq lists it as uncharacterized. The transcript is spliced from 4 exons. The record is from RefSeq and is a predicted model, not a curated record. Lineage: Eukaryota; Metazoa; Chordata; Aves; Passeriformes; Motacillidae.
CCUGCUGCAGAACUACAAACAAAAACAAAGACAAAAGCAAAAGGAAAGAAAGUAAAAAAAACCCCAGCACUCCGGCAUUUGGCCAGAAGCAGAAAUGGUAAAAAUGCUCUUUUUUUACCAUUCCUUAUCAAUUUCAUACCUGUAUUAUUAUAAAAAUAUUUUGCUUGUUCUAUACGGUGUCAUUAAAAACGUAAAAUAUGAACAUUAUGUUCCAGGCAUGAAGUGCAUUCAGAGGAGUCUGGAAACCCUGAAGACUGUUCAGUGUAGUAAAAAGCUCUUCUUUAUCUCUUAUUUUAAAUACAGUUAAUCCUAUUUAUUCAGCAAACACAUUUAAGAGCAACUUUGAGGGGAAAAAAAACCAAAACAGAAGAAGCUGGAAAUUGCCUUUUUCUGUCUGUAGUGGUGAGAAACUGUGGUUCUGUUCCUUUGCUUUUAUUUAUAGUCAGUAACCACAAAAUGUAUCUCUAACAAUAACAGGGAUUUUAAUAGGCAAUAUUAACUGUUCUUCCCUUAACUUUUGAUCUGAAAUGUUUCAAACAAAAGCCUGUUGCCUGUUUAUAUGAUGAAUUUGUUCGAAGAGUAUCUUUCUGAAAUAAUGCAAAACAUGACACUUUGUCAUUUGGGCUGACAUGGGACAGAAAUGUCAUUUUAAUCCAUUGAGUAAUUUUUUUUGUAUUCUUUUUGGGGGGGGCAUUUUUUUCUCAACAUUGCUAUGCCUUUUUUAGAGCAGCAGUGAUCUGCGCAGUUUCUUUUGACACUGAUGGGUAUUUCAAACCCCUUACACUGAGGGGAGGGAGAAAAACGAAUUUACUUCCAGCCACAGCGGCGAUGCAGCUCCAUAAGCCAUCACUUAUUUGCUAAAAGUUUACAUUUUAAAUGAGCUUGAAAUGUAAAGGUGGGCUUUCUGGUGCUGGGACUGUAUUUAGGAAUGGUGAGAGAAAAUAGAGGGAAGAUGAUAUGCUUGUAUGUUAAAGACUAUCAGGAUAUUGGUAAUACAGCCAUUUAAAAUGUAUUUUGUUUUUUGACGCAGCUAGGAGCAGGAGAUUCACAACCAUAUCUGGGAUGCUUAAUUAAAGCUUUAUAGGAAAAAAACAUCAAACAGCAGCUUACAGUAACAAGCCGAAAUAUAGUACACAUUUUCAAUAUCUUCAGAUAGAAAUGUGUGUUAUAUUUUUUACCUUCCUCUUCUGGGAUCACUAACAUGCCUCUCCUCAGACAGAGCAAGGACAAGUUCCAUCUUUAAAAAUUAUCUGCCUUACAGAUCACAUUCUCAAGCAUGUUCCACGCUUUUUAUUACCAUGGAUAACCUCUUAAUGCGAUCACAAUUUUAUACUUGUUAAGUGGACAUCUUCCCUAUAUUUAACUGCAAAAAAAGCAACUUCCUUUUGGGGGCUGGGAGGAAGGAGAAAUGCUUUGGGAUGAUUAGAAACAUAAGUUUCUAUCUUCUGUCACACCAGCCUAUCAAUUAUUCAAAACCCUACCAAAUUUAGAUGUCUGUUCCUAAAAUGUUGUUUGCACUCGUUCCCUGGGAAGAUGGAGGCAGCUGAUAAUUUGGCUAAAUUAUGCGUUUGAGCCCUGUAGUUACAAAUGAAAGAGUUGAAUUUAGCAGAUUUAUUUGCCACUGGUGAAAAUCCUUGGUAGCAGGAAUUUAGACCUCUUCCUUCAGGGAGCAAAUCGAGGUGUGAGGUGGUGCCCACAGGUAUUUAUGCGGACCAAACCUCAUUGUUACAGCAAAUAACGUGAUGCAUCAGUGACUCGAUGGGAGGUCUUACUGAUCAAUUAGGGACUGGCUACUGGGGCCAAAGGGCCUAAAGCAGCCCCUGAGGUGCUUUGUGCCCCAGGUAGUCAUUACCUGAGUGUAGAGUCCAGUAAAGGGGAAAUUAUUGCUAUUUUAGGAUGAGAUGUGAAGGAUGCGGGGUGGACAACUCCAGAUCAUUCAGGGUGUAAUGCGCUCAUCCCAAACCUGCCCUUUGAGCACACCUGAUGCAGCCUGGCUGCUGUGGUGGUGUAAAAUAUCUCCCUUUUCCAGCAGUGUCAGGGUGUGAUUGGCAGCAAGUCUGCACCGAGCGUGGGCGUCCUCCCGUGCACACCAGUCACAGGACAUGAGGGGGGAGUUUUUGUAAUUGAUUUUAUUUUUUUUUUAUAAAUAGAUAGGUUCUGACAAAUAACACCGCCUCUUCACAAAGCUCAUUUGCAGCAGCUAACAGACCUGUGCUGGGUUUAUCAGUGACAGAACCUCCUUUCCUAAAGGAAAUAAUAUUUUUUGAGAAGAUAAUUUGGCUGAUAUUGCAAUGGCUCAGGGGGGCAAAAAGCUGCAGAGCAAAGCUGUUUCCAGCAGCCCUGGGCAUGGGGCAACACUGAUUGCUGCACUGGGCGUGUUUCACAGGGCCAGGCACGAGAGCAAGAGGAGAGCUGAAAGAAAUGCUGCUGACUGUGAAAAAUAACAGAAUAAAAAAUCAAAUAAAAUCAAAUCCAUGCAACAGAAACACCACCCUUUCUCUUGCAACGACAGUUGGUAAUUGCCAAAACACAGGCAGCCUUAGGCUAAAAAAAACCAAAUCAAACCCCUCAAAAAUCCAUAAAGAAUUUAAUUUAUAUUUAGAAACCAAAAUGUUUCAGGCAAACAGCACACAAAUUGCACAAGCCCUUGUGUCGUUCCCCACUACCCUGUGCUGACUCUUAAGUUACACUGCUAAGGAGCGUAUCCCCAUUUUUACAACUCUGGCAUAAAGGCAGGCAAGAGGCAACGGGGAGGAAAAAAAACCCAACCCCCCAAAAAACCCAAAACAAAGGAUGUGUGAGGGCUUUCAUUUAUUUUGAUAAUCCUCCUCCUGCUCCACAGCGUUUUGCUGUCUUUGUCAAAGUGAAUGACAACAAUUUGGCCAACUCUCUCUGAGCUGCACUCAACAGUGACAGGCAAAUUAUCAGAGGCCCUGCACUCCUUAUUAUCAGAGGAGAAGUCAUCAGGAGGACGUGCGGAGGAUCCCUCUCCCCUGUCACUAUUUGUCAGUGGGACAAGGGCCACUGCUAUGGGUAGCUGACAGGUAAUUUCAACAAUAACAAUUACUCCUAUUACUGGUGUCAUAAACAAUUCGCCCAAGGCAUGACAAUAGCAAAGCUUUAUAAUUCAAUGCCAUAUAAAUAAAUGCCAGCAGGUAACAAGUAAUUUAGCUCCAAUCAGGCCUUGGCCCUGGCAUUAAUAUUGUUAUUGCAAGAAAAUGGAAAAUUGAAAAAAAUUCAAUAUGUUAAUGAAUUAAGAGGGGUUCAAAGGCUAAGGGAGGGGAGGCAUGAUCCAGAAUGGAGGGAAGAAAACAAAACCAAAAGAUACAAAAUCAUGCUUUCAGAACUACCACCAAUAUGCAUUCAUACAACCAUAUAACUAGUUUUUGAUAUAGAACACGGUCUUGCUAUGCUGCUUUUCAGGUUAGGGCAAAAGGCAUGCAGGAACCUGAACCCCACCCCUUGCCUCCAUCUGCUACACUGCGAACAACGUGCAUCAAAAACUAAACUGAAUUUAACAGUUUUAUUCAAAACAGAAUCAUAUUUGAAAUCUCAUGCAAGACAUGGAUUUAACAAAGAUUAAAGGUUUAUUUACAACUCCAUUGCUUUAUUGUCCACUUCUGGCAUGCUUUAAUCUUUUUUAAACAAGCUCUGUUAAAUCAUUGAUUCUCUAUUUAUCAAGAAGAAGGAUUUUACUGCACUUUUUCUCUCCCCAAAUGCCCUUCAGAAGACACAACACCCUAAUUCUCUUAUGAGAAUGUUGAUCAACAGCAAACAAGCUAAAUACCAAUAUCUUCAAGUCCAAAUUCUUGAUCAACCAAAUUUGCAAUUUUACUAUUUGUCCAGCAAGACAAUGCGCCAUCAGGCUGACAGCAGUAAAAGAAUUUGAAAAUCUCUAAUUAGGAGAGCUGCAGAGCAAUUAACGCAUGUCAAAUUUCACUUCAUCAAGUGCCACUCUAAUUUUCCCACUAAAAAUUAAUGGACUUUUUUUUGGUGGGUGUGUGGGUGUGUGGGUGUGCCUGUGUCUCUCUCUCUCUCUCUCUGUGUGUGUAUAUGUGUGUGUGUGUGUGUGUGUGUGUGUGUGUGUGUGUGUCCCCUCAAGGCAAUGUUGAUUCAAAUCUGCUCAAGAUGCAGCGUUGCACAGCUAAGCAUCUUCUUGAUUACAACCCGACACACUUCUAACUGCUUUCAUUCUCACUGCCACGGAUACUUUGUCAACAGUCAAAUUACUCCAUGCUGAUAACAGUGCAUAAUGGUCUUCCUCAAAGGAGGCUCCUGUCAUGGAGCAGCCUUUCAUAAAAACCCACCAGUUUCUUCUCUGAGAGAUAGAGCUAGAUGAAAGGAGUUAGCUUUUGUGGUUCCAAACAUGGUUGCAAUGCAUUUUUUUUUCAUUUCUCAUUUUUUCUUCUUCUUCCUCUCAUGCUAUAGUUUAUUUAUUUUUGUACUCACCUGAAAUUAUGGUAGGGAGCUGUUUGAAGAGUCAUACAGAAUGGAAAAUAUUUAUAGUUACUGCUUAUACAGGCUUUGCUUUAACCACUUUGCUCCAAGAUGCUUUCAAGAGCAACAUCCUCCUUUCAGUACCACUCAUUUAUUUUUUUUUUUUCUUUUUUUCCUUUUCUUUCUAAAGGUGCAGGGCAGCAUCCUGCACUCUGCAUAACCACAAGCCCUGCUGACGUCAAUGGGAGUUUUUCCGGGGUGAGGGCUGAGCGCCUUGGCCCACUGCUAUAAACACAUUGGGACUUUCUUUUUUAACGGAUGGUAUUUAGAUUCUGUGAGGGGCUUGUUUAACAGGCACGUUUUCCAGAGUCCUCAAACAUCGUGGGGCACACAAGACAAAUUGUCUUUUUGUUAAAGCAGCAUAAGGGCAGGAGAGAAGCACUGAGCUAUCACAGGCAGUUUUUGCCUUCCACUCACUGCUCCCCGAUCCCCACCUCUCUUUUCCUGGGAGAUCAAUAACAGCAAAAGUCAGAGGGUGUCAUGGGGCAGGAUUUCAAACAAGUAGAAGUGGAAUUAAUAAGAAUAACAUUCUCCAGAGAUAUUAAAAUUUUUUGCCUGUAAGUUUCAGAGCUGAAGUACAGUUGUCUGCUCCCUUGGAGAGAAGAAGGGUUAGCACCCACAGCCCUUGCCUAUCACUGGGCUUAUAGCUGCCAACCACCCCAAUGACAUAGGUAGGGUAUUUAGUCCUUGGUGUGUGCAUGUCUGUUUACACUACAAACAAAGCCAAAACCACACAUUGCAUUUAAUCGGAGCCAUCUUUCCAUCAAUAUUCUUAUUUCUUGCCCCAGAUAAAUGACUGAUAUUGCAGUGCCUGGUAACAUGGGCUUCUCUCCUCCCAAUAAUUUUCUGCAUCCUCCCCAGCUAUAUUGACCCCCACCCUGGCAGGUAUUAACAUUUUGCAAUUAACUCUGUCUGAUAUAUUAAGAAAUGGGAAAUCCAGGAUAUUUGGUUCCUGAAUUUGGGAUGUUCCCCUCUUUGGGUCCUCCACCUAGGAUGGACAAAUGAGUCUUCCUCUAAUGACACAGCCCCAGUGCACACACAGUCCUCAAGCAUCCCCAGACCAAUGUCAUGGCAGCCACUGGACCUGCAGGUUAGUAUACGUGUAAGUGCAUUUCGUUUAUUUCCAUGUCCUUCUCUAAACUUAAAAAGCUCUAACGCUGCUUUUAAACAAAGCAGGGAUUAUAUACUUUGCCUUGACAGCCUCUCUUUUUUUAUUAGGGGACAUCCUCCCCCCCUCAGCAAAAAAUGCUCCCAUAAAAACAAUAGGCAAAGCCAUAAUUUAAAGAGAAAAAUGUGAUUAUAUAACACAUCCUGCAGUAAUCAAUUUUACCUCCAAUAUCUGCUUUUGUUUUCAAAAUGCUAAAUAAACAAUACAUAAUGCAUCCCUCAUCAACCAAAACCAUGAGGGCUCUGUGCUCAAAUAACAGGAAACAUAUUCAAUUUUCCUAACAGAAGACAGUUCAUUAAGCUGUGCCACAUCAAAUAAAACUUUAAUUUCUCCAGCAUCAGAGUCGCAAUGAAAGCAAUUGAGGAAGAUGAGCCAUAUGGUACUUCUAUCAGCAAACACAUAUUGCUCAUUCCCCCAAAGUUUUCUAAUUCUGCUCCCCAGACCUGUGUAAUAUAGAUAAUGUGCUCUGAGCGCAGCAACCAUGAGCUAUCUGGUGUACACUUCUAAUACUGUAUUUAAUGGGAAAUAAUGAAUCAUAAAAGCCUGCAGAAGACGGCUUUUGCUAACCUAAAUCUCAGCUGUAAUUUCAUUGUUCUGUGCCUAAGAUGUUGUUUGCCCUUUUCAAACAGCAGCAGUUGAACAUAAUUAUGCUGCUACAAACCUGGGCUGCAAAAAGAAAGCCUUCCUAAUAGAACCAAGUUUUUAUUAACUCUUGAAAUCCUGAGCUUGGGGCAACUGCAAGCAGACAGCUGCCUGUCAGGUUUUAGGGUGCAUUAAAGCACACGUACACGUAGAUCUUGAUUUCCAGUGUGCAGCCCCACAAAUUAAAUUGAUGAUUCCUACAUCAGGCCAAAAAUGCAACAAGAGAAGGCUAUGAAAAAUUAGGAAAUCUUCUUGACAUCGGGAAAUCCAACACUUGUCUGCUCUAACAUCUGUAAGUGCCAAAUACAGAAGGGGAUUUUUUCUUUAAAGGUAAGUCUAUUUUUCUUCUUUUUGCCAGAUAUAAAAAUUGUGGUUAGUGCCUGGAGUAAAGGGCCCUCUAAACUUUAUAGUGUUUACCCUCAGUUUAUAAAUCCAUAAUUAUCUAUUUAAUGAUAUCAUAAGGUUAAAAGUUAAACAGCACUGUAUUUUCUCUGCCUUUUUCUCCUCUGCCUUUUAGAAAGGCAGGCUUGCCUAUCUCCAAGGGACGAUUGGUCAGGGUUGUUUUCUGAAGAAGCCUAUAGGUAAAGAGACAUCCAUAUGUUCAUACAGGAGCAUUCAUAAAGGCAAGGACGAGAAGAUAAAGGUAUUUUUUUGACAUGAUGACCCCUGGAAAAUGUCUUUGACUCAUCCCAACCUAAAACCUACAAAACCUACAAUGAAUUUACAUCAACUAUAUGGAGCUUUGGACCAACAGAUUUAUUUUCCAGAUUGUUGCCACUUUUGCUGCCUUUGCCUCUGAGAAGUUGAGUAAAUCCUCUGGCCCCUUUCAAAUAUUUCCUCAUCUGCGCUGAAUGCCUACUGACAAAGCAACUGAUAGAUACGGACCUAAGAAAUAUUUAUUAUCAUUGACUCCUGCACACAGCUGCUCUGGUGUGGGUACCACAUCCCAGGUGCCACAAUGAGAGCCACCUUCUCUUCUCCAGCUUCCAGUGAUGUGAAAAGUGGACAGAAAUAGCCUGCAGAGGAGAAAAAAUUAUUUUUCAGGUUGCCCUGACUCUGCCCCCCAAAAUGUCUCCAGUGCCUGAAUGGGAACUGCAGUGGAUACCCGAAAUACCAGGGAUAGAGAUGCUCACUGGGAUGAAAACUGGAAAGACAUAUUUCCAAACACCACCUUCCCCAUUGCUCAUAAAAUUUCAUUAAUUCACAUGAAAUUUUCUGCAAACUUUCAUAACUAAAGCUGAAGUUAGGGAGGUGCUAAGUCAGGGAGCAGUCUCCUGGCCUCCCCAUCCCAAACCUGGUUGCUCACCAUGUAACUUCUGAGCUUAAAAAGAGAUGGCAAUUGGAAAAUUCACAUGGAAUAAUUAAAAAACAAUAACAUUUUGGAUUUCUUUUUUAAAGCAGCCAUUUAUACCUAGCUCUGAGACAUGAUUUGGGCUCCUUGAUUUUAUUAAAAAAAUCUCCAAAUCAAAUUCUUCCUGGGCUGCAAGUCAUGCUGAAAAAAGCUCCACUCUGAAUUUGCAGUAAUUAGAAACAAAGCAGCACAUUUUCCUUCAGACCCACAAAGAGUAAGUUUCUGACAUUUCUUAGACUGAGUCUGUUGCAUUUCCAUGCUGUGACUCUCAGGACAGGGGCUGGGAGAGUUUGGUUGGAUGACUUGAAUUCCUUGGUGUCAUCAACACCCUCACAUUAGGUUAUUCAGGCACCAAAGGUGAUGUAAAAGCUUGUUCUUCACAGGCAGAGCAAAAUUAAGCUGCUCCAGAAGCAUCAUCCCCAGUCCACUACUGCUGGUGUGGCAUUGCCUUAGUGGCUGGGGCGGCACCAGGAGAAGGGGUGAGAGCACCCUUCCUCAUGUGUCCUCCCUGCACAGCCCUUUCCCUUCUGGAGAGGUUGUCAGAAGCCUGAGGAGAUGCUCACCGGUGUGUGCAGAUCUCAUGUGGAGGUUAAACCCAGCAGUACCAGCAUCUACGUGUUACCAGCUUGAGGUGUGAGGAGAUGAAGACUUAGUGCAAAGGUUUCAUCAGCCUGGGGUGGAGGAGUUGGCAUGGUCUGGCAGUACUAGCAUGUGAAUACUGUGCCCACAGGGAUGGGGAAGGUGGGAGGUUGAAAGACUUGAGCUAUUUAUUAGGUUGCUUUUUCCUAAGGGAUACCAUGAUCCAUAAAAGAAAAAGCAGAAUUCAAGGAUUGCAGGCAGAAAAUUAUUCAGAAACUGUUAGCAGAGGUAUGAAAGGGUCAGUCAGAAAAGAGGACAAAAAUAUAUAUGACCUGUUUACUUCCUGACCAAGGUAAACACCAUCUCCUUUUUUUUUUUUUUUUUUUUUUUUGUAAGAUGAGAAAUAUUAAAAGGAAGGUCACAAGUUAGAGGAAAGACUAGAAAUUCCUUUGGGAUGGGCUCUCUUGCAAAAUAUAUACAGUUCACUAGUAACAAAAUCCAGAUAGUCUUUACUGUUUUUUUAAAAAAGAAUUAAUAGAAUCAUGGAAUUAAAGAAUCAUUAAGGUUGGAAAAGACCUCCAAGACCAUCCAGUCCAACUGUUACACAAAUCACCCAUAAUACUCUCUCAUAAACUUACAUGUGUCUAUGUUUAUGCAGCUGUAAAUAGGCAUGUGAUUGUGCACAUAUAUAUGGGCCUGCAUAUAUACCUAUAACAAAAACUUGGCGUGCAUCAAAUGAAAAAUAAAAUGAGCUGCAAAAUUAUUUAGGGGAAAAAGUGAUGAAAGUGGGUGAGAGCUGGGGCAGCAGUAUGGUGAGGAUCUAUCCCACUGCUUGGAAAUACCCAGAAAUCUUCUUAAACAUUUAUCAGCACCUUUCCUAACUUUAGGAGAAGGGCUGGGAGGGCCCCAAAAGCAUGAUUCUUCAGGAUAUUCCUAUCAGGCAGGAAACCUUGGGAGAGCAGCAUUGCUUGUUUUCUGUUCUGCUUCCAGCUCCAGAAAGCACACAGAUAAGAAGAAAACUCAAAAUAAUUGAAUAGAUACAAGACAUCCACAUUUGUAUAAACAACAAGCUUUGAAAAGGGAAAAAGGAAUCAGGUCUUAAUUUUUUAUGAUUUCUUUUUCUCAAACUAAAAAAAAAAGAAAAAGGAAAAGUCAGGCAGUUCUUAUUUUAUCCAGACCAGUUCAUAAAUCCCAAGUCAUAAAUCCACAUGAUAUCCCGGGCUGCUGGAUUUUGCAUUUGGAGCUCCGAAAGACUGAUAGCUGAAAGAUUUAUAAAAUCCCAGGUAGCCGGAGUACUCCCUAUUGGCUCCACAUCUGAGAGGUCCCUGCAUCCUGCUUAGCCCACAAAGCUGGAUGUAUGGGAUAUAUUGUGUUCAAGAAGCAGCACACCCCCACCCUGCUAUUUUCAGAUGUGACAAAGGCUAAAAAUUUGAUCAUAUGAGGUGGAUUGGCCCUGUAUAGGGACUUUUCUGCACAGACAUGGGGAUAGCCAUGAACUGGGGUUGCCCAAAAACUGCUGCCACCUUCGGCAAAAUUACACCAUGGUUUGCGUCAUAGAUGUAUGAUUAACUUGUGUGGUAGACCCAAACAUAAACAGCAGAAUUGUUUCAGCUGCUUUGAAUAUACGCUUGUUUUUGUUUCUUGUAAUACCCUUGAAUAGGAAUGACUGCUCAGUAAGAACAGGGGAUCAUCACUAGGCCAGAAAAUGAUGAUACUUAGAGGAGAACAUGACCAGCCCCUCAACAAAAAUUGGUACCUGAGACGCCUCAGAUAAAGUACAGAUUGUUGACAAUUCAGCUGUCAAAGCAGCCAGCUCACAUUUCUCAGAGUGCUGAAAGAUGACGAUGUGGAGCUUUUCUCAUCAGUUCAGUGGAUGUUACACAUGACCAUGUGUAUUGGGGUGAAGGUUCCCCAAAACAGACACUCUGAAGAUUGAUUUGUGCUAUUUGUCUGUAUACACAGGAUGCUGAAAAAGUGCUUAAGCCUUCCAUCCCUUACUUUCCUCUAUCCUUCCUCAAUGACCUUAUUUGAACCUAAUACUUUUCUCCAGACUUGCAAUGACAGACAUUUCUAAUAUGCUUCUGUUGAAUUAAUAAAACGAUUUA